GGAAUAUUGGUCAAUGGACGGAAGUCUGAACCAGCCAAGUAGCGUGCAGGAUGACGGCCCUAUGGGUUGUAAACUGCUUUUUUAGGGGAAUAAAGUUAGCCACGUGUGGUUAUUUGCAUGUACCCUACGAAUAAGGACCGGCUAAUUCCGUGCCAGCAGCCGCGGUAAUACGGAAGGUCCGGGCGUUAUCCGGAUUUAUUGGGUUUAAAGGGAGCGCAGGCUGAUGAUUAAGCGUGACGUGAAAUGUAGCCGCUCAACGGCUGAACUGCGUCGCGAACUGGUUAUCUUGAGUGAGUUCGAUGUUGGCGGAAUUCGUGGUGUAGCGGUGAAAUGCUUAGAUAUCACGAAGAACUCCGAUUGCGAAGGCAGCCAACAAGGCCUUUACUGACGCUAAAGCUCGAAGGUGCGGGUAUCGAACA
RNAcentral lists this ribosomal RNA (419 nucleotides) under uncultured Prevotella sp. RNAcentral describes it as "bacterial SSU rRNA". It matches the Rfam family "Bacterial small subunit ribosomal RNA", at positions 358 to 774 of the family's 1533-position model. Lineage: Bacteria; Pseudomonadati; Bacteroidota; Bacteroidia; Bacteroidales; Prevotellaceae. The record is from RNAcentral.